Molecule: non-coding RNA, 66 nt
Filed under: Brucella sp. 10RB9210
Lineage: Bacteria; Pseudomonadati; Pseudomonadota; Alphaproteobacteria; Hyphomicrobiales; Brucellaceae
Also listed under: 1 other name
Source: RNAcentral
AAGCGAAACAGGCUUCACCGCCUGUCGCCCUAAGGUCGCGCUUAGGGCCUGAUGAGCCAGCGAAAG